Molecule: ribosomal RNA, 117 nt
Filed under: Lepisosteus oculatus (spotted gar)
Lineage: Eukaryota; Metazoa; Chordata; Actinopteri; Semionotiformes; Lepisosteidae
Source: RNAcentral
GCCAGCAGCCAUUUUGCCCUGUAACUCACAACUGGCAACCCACUGAAGUUAAGCAGGUUUGAGCCUGGUGAGUACCUGGAUCGGAGACUCCUGGGAAAGCUAAGGUUGCUGCUAGAA